AAUAAAAAGACGAUUUUACUUAUAAAUGUGAAAAAGGACGGAACAUCACAGUAGGCUAUGUAAUUUUUGUUUACCUGCGACAAAACGUCUCUCGACUUCAAAGGAACAUCUAACCUUGAAAAAGCAUCUUAAAGUUUGUAGCUUGCACAUUUCUGUGCACUUUAAUUUGUUGGCAAGACAGGAACAGUCGGGAAGCUUGCAGGUCCGUGAACACUUGCAGGCCAUAAGCUCCAGAACAGCCAUUGGUGCUGGGGGUCCCCGCAUCCAGUCUAACAUCAGCAUACCUUUACAAAUAGGUUUGUCCAUCCAUGUCCUUCUGGUUCGGGUAUGUCUGGCUGUCCUUCCAAGCAGUGCCUCCAGACAGCUGCCUGGUAAUUGGCACGCUAUGCAACUUUAAGCAGUCCCUGCAAGGGGGGAAGUAGGCUGGACUCCAC
Molecule: long non-coding RNA, 434 nt
Organism: Onychostoma macrolepis
Lineage: Eukaryota; Metazoa; Chordata; Actinopteri; Cypriniformes; Cyprinidae
Exons: 3
Source: RefSeq, a predicted model, not a curated record